UGCUAAGGGACUAGCAAAAGCUAAGUGUGGGGGAAUUUGAUAGGAGCAUUUUAAUGCGACGUUUUAACUGUUAUUUCCCUAUAUUUUCUGCGUUAUUUCCUUAAUAAAACUCUGUUUAGGAAAGUUUCCAUUCUUCGAAUGGGAAAGUUCCUAAUUGUAGAAAGUUUCCGUUUUGUUUUUGGAAUAAAUAAGCAGAAUUGAGUUCAUAAAUGGAACGAGAAGUUUCAUGAAGAUGACAUGGCAAGGAGAGAAUCAAGGAAGAGUUUUUUU
This 270-nucleotide long non-coding RNA is filed under the name Rosa chinensis. Its description in RNAcentral is "sRNA RchiOBHm_Chr6g0271211". The record is from RNAcentral. Lineage: Eukaryota; Viridiplantae; Streptophyta; Magnoliopsida; Rosales; Rosaceae.